CCUACGGGUGGCAGCAGUGGGGAAUAUUGCACAAUGGGGGAAACCCUGAUGCAGCGACGCCGCGUGAGUGAAGAAGUAUUUCGGUACGUAAAGCCCUAUCAGCAGGGAAGAAAAUGACGGUACCUGACUAAGAAGCCCCGGCUAACUACGUGCCAGCAGCCGCGGUAAUACGUAGGGGGCAAGCGUUAUCCGGAUUUACUGGGUGUAAAGGGAGCGUAGACGGCAGCGCAAGUCUGGAGUGAAAUCCCAUGGCUUAACCAUGGAACUGCUUUGGAAACUGUGCAGCUAGAGUGCAGGAGAGGUAAGCGGAAUUCCUAGUGUAGCGGUGAAAUGCGUAGAGAUUAAGAGGAACACCAGUGGCGAAGGCGGCUUACUGGACUGUAACUGACGUUGAGGCUCGAAAGCGUGGGGAGCAAACAGGAUUAGAUACCCCGGUAGUC
Molecule: ribosomal RNA, 440 nt
Filed under: uncultured bacterium
Lineage: Bacteria
Description: partial 16S ribosomal RNA
Rfam family: Bacterial small subunit ribosomal RNA
Source: RNAcentral